This 300-nucleotide long non-coding RNA is filed under the name Triticum aestivum (bread wheat). RNAcentral describes it as "long non-coding RNA (TAES_LNC021393)". The record is from RNAcentral. Lineage: Eukaryota; Viridiplantae; Streptophyta; Magnoliopsida; Poales; Poaceae.
CAGUUCCCAUGAAUCAUCCACCCGGUUCUAGUCCAGCUAUGAAUAUUCCACCGGGUUCAAGUUCAGCUAUGAGUCAUCGACCAGGUUCAAAUCCACCUAUGAGUCAUCCACCAGGUUCAAAUCCACCUAUGAGUCAUCCACCAGGUUCAAAUCCACCUAUGAGUCGUCCACCGGGUUCAAAUCCACCUAUGAGUCGUCCACCGGGGUCAAAUCCAGCUAUGAGUCAUCCACCGGGUUCAAAUCCAGCUAUGAGUCAUCCAUUGGGCUCAAAUCCAGCUAUGAGUCAUGCACCGGGUUCAA